RNAcentral lists this ribosomal RNA (406 nucleotides) under uncultured bacterium. Its description in RNAcentral is "partial 16S ribosomal RNA". It matches the Rfam family "Bacterial small subunit ribosomal RNA", at positions 30 to 526 of the family's 1533-position model. The record is from RNAcentral.
AUUGAACGCUGGCGGCAGGCCUAACACAUGCAAGUCGAACGAGUGGCGGACGGGUGAGUAAUGUCUGGGAAACUGCCUGAUGGAGGGGGAUAACUACUGGAAACGGUAGCUAAUACCGCAUACCAUCGGAUGUGCCCCGAUGGGAUUAGCUUGUUGGUGGGGUAACGGCUCACCAAGGCGACGAUCCCUAGCUGGUCUGAGAGGAUUACCAGCCACACUGUAACGGAGACACGGUCCAGACUCCUACGUGAGUCAGCAGUGGGGAAUAUUGCACAAUGGGCGCAAGCCUGAUGCAGCCAUGCCGCGUGUAUGAAGAAGUCCUUCGGGUUGUAAAGUACUUUCAGCGGGGAGGCGUUACCCGCAGAAGAAGCGCCGGCUAACUACGUGCCAGCAGCCGCGGUAAUAC